GGUGAUCGAGGCGAGGGUGAGGGAGAUGACAUCUAUAUCUGCGAACCACUUCGGUUUCAUGCCGGGGCGCUCCACUACAGAAGCUAUCCACCUUGUCAGGAAGCUGGUGGAGCAGUUCAGGGAUAAGAAGAAGGACAUGCACAUGGUGUAUAUCGACUUGGAGAAGGCGUAUGACAAGGUCCCAAGGGAGGUGCUAUGGAGGUGCUUGGAGGCGAAGAGUGUGCCGGAAGCCUACAUCAGAGUAAUCANN
Molecule: long non-coding RNA, 250 nt
Filed under: Nicotiana benthamiana
Lineage: Eukaryota; Viridiplantae; Streptophyta; Magnoliopsida; Solanales; Solanaceae
Description: long non-coding RNA (NBEN_LNC016264)
Source: RNAcentral